AUGCUUGCUUCGGCAGCACAUAUACUAAAAUUGGAACACUACAAAGAAGAUGAGCAUGGCCUCUGCACAAAGAUGACAGGAAAAUUUGUGAAGCAUUCCAUAUUUUU
This is a small nuclear RNA of Hippopotamus amphibius kiboko, 107 nucleotides long. NCBI's taxonomy places the organism in Eukaryota, Metazoa, Chordata, Mammalia, Artiodactyla, Hippopotamidae. The record is from RefSeq and is a predicted model, not a curated record.